AUUGAACGCUGGCGGCAUGCCUUACACAUGCAAGUCGAACGGCAGCACGGGAGCAAUCCUGGUGGCGAGUGGCGAACGGGUGAGUAAAGUAUCGGAACGUGCCCAGUCGUGGGGGAUAACGUGGCGAAAGUUACGCUAAUACCGCAUACGAUCUAUGGAUGAAAGCGGGGGAUCGCAAGACCUUGCGCGAUUGGAGCGGCCGAUAUCAGAUUAGGUAGUUGGUGGGGUAAAGGCUCACCAAGCCGACGAUCUGUAGCUGGUCUGAGAGGACGACCAGCCACACUGGGACUGAGACACGGCCCAGACUCCUACGGGAGGCAGCAGUGGGGAAUUUUGGACAAUGGGCGAAAGCCUGAUCCAGCCAUGCCGCGUGCAGGAUGAAGGCCUUCGGGUUGUAAACUGCUUUUGUACGGAACGAAAAGGUUAGGCCUAAUAAGCUGAGCUCAUGACGGUACCGUAAGAAUAAGCACCGGCUAACUACGUGCCAGCAGCCGCCGCGG
RNAcentral lists this ribosomal RNA (500 nucleotides) under uncultured bacterium. Its description in RNAcentral is "partial 16S ribosomal RNA". It matches the Rfam family "Bacterial small subunit ribosomal RNA", at positions 30 to 523 of the family's 1533-position model. The record is from RNAcentral.